Molecule: long non-coding RNA, 99 nt
Organism: Cebus imitator (Panamanian white-faced capuchin)
Lineage: Eukaryota; Metazoa; Chordata; Mammalia; Primates; Cebidae
Exons: 3
Source: RefSeq, a predicted model, not a curated record
UACAUUUAAGAUCGUGAAGGUGACAUUGUAGGUGUUGGGCUCUGGCACAGGCACGUGGCGGAGCCUCUGCUUUGGUUUGAGAUCAAUACACGACAGCGU